CCAACACUCCCUCACUCAGCUGCUGUAAGCAUCCCAGCAGCCAUCAACCCCCUUCAGCAACCACCAGACCACUUUCUUUCCUCCAUUUAGCUGCUGCAAGCAUUCCAGCGGCCAUCCCAACCAUUCCUCAGCUAUCACAACCAUUUCUUCUAUUUUCCUAUCAUUGAAAUCCUCCAUUUUCCUUAUAAAGCCUCACAAACCAUAACUCCAAGCUUUUCCUUCCUUCUCAUACCCUUCCAAGCUAUAAAUACCAUAGCUUUCAAGCCUCAAGCUUUUCCUUUUAUCCUCUCACCUCUAGAAAUCAUAAAUUUCUCUAGAAUCAUUGUCACAAACAUCAUACCCUUCAAAGUCUUAAGCUUUUCUUUCCUCAGCCAUGCUCUUUGAAACCCCAUUCAUUUGACUGCUGCCAAACAAUCAAACCACCAUAGCCAUAACUUCAAACAAUAAAUACUCAACACCCAAACUCAAGCAUAUCAAGCACCAACCCAAGCACGAGCAUUCUCAUUUGCUAAACUUGUGGGUCUUUAGCUCCCACACUCCAAGCUCUCAUGCCAAGCUCAUAUAAUCUCAUAUCAACAUCAGUAAGUCAUCUUCAACUCUUCGUCGAGCUGCCGGAAACAUCAGUACAAAACACGCAGUCGCUAGAAGAAGAACAAAGUACUCCCCAAGGACUUGCUUCUCCCUCAAGAUACUUUGGGCCUAGUUCUCGCUAACUCAGAAAAAGAGGCAACGAAGGCUUGAUUCACUACUCUAUGCCGAUUUAAGAAUAAAAAAAGCCUGGACGAGCCUUCCAACGGAAAAAGACCCAACAAUAUUAUUUCUUUUUCUUUGUACUUUUAUAUUAUUUCUUUUUCUUUGUGCUAUUAAAUGAGCAUGAUAAUAUAUAUUUUUUAAUUUAAAAACCUUAUAAUGCUUUAUGAAGUUCAUAAAAAGUUGAAUUAAACAAUAGAAAAAAGAAAAGAAGGGCAUAGUAAAGGGGGGAGGGGGAGAGAGAAAAGGAGCUGCAACACCCAAAGGCCCCAACUCUCCAAGCGAAACUUACCUCCCCAACUCCAAUCCAACCACCUCUAAGAUGUAUAAUAAAAGCCCUUGCAGCCUUACCACUCCACAAUGGUCCUUCUCACUUCUCCACCCACUGAGCAGCUCCUCCCCUUCUCGACUAGACUACGCCUCUCUUUUCAAGUUUUUUUUCUUUUUUUAAUGAUAUAUUUUAGAUUAAUUGAAUUUUUAGUGUAAUUUUAAUUUAAUUCAACUUUUUAUUGACUUCAAAAGGCUUUAUAGGUUUUCAAAAUAAAAUGGAAAAAAAUUAUUAUGUUCAUUUAGCAGCAAUUUUAAUGGAACGAACCAAAUUGACUAACGAUCUUAAAUACAAGGAUCAAAUUGGCCAAAUUGAAAACACAUGGACUAAAUUGGCCAACGUAAUAACACAUAGAACAUUUUGACAUUUAAAAGAAAUAAUAUAAAAGU
This 1467-nucleotide long non-coding RNA is filed under the name Prunus persica (peach). Its description in RNAcentral is "long non-coding RNA (PPER_LNC005966)". The record is from RNAcentral. Lineage: Eukaryota; Viridiplantae; Streptophyta; Magnoliopsida; Rosales; Rosaceae.